This 253-nucleotide ribosomal RNA is filed under the name uncultured bacterium. Its description in RNAcentral is "partial 16S ribosomal RNA". It matches the Rfam family "Bacterial small subunit ribosomal RNA", at positions 524 to 776 of the family's 1533-position model. The record is from RNAcentral.
UACGGGGGGAGCAAGCGUUGUUCGGAAUCACUGGGCGUAAAGGGCGUGUAGGCGGUUCGGUAAGUGGGAUGUGAAAUCCCCGGGCUCACCCCGGGACCUGCAUCCCAAACUGCUGAGCUUGAGUACAGGAGAGGGUGGGGGAAUUCCAGGUGUAGCGGUGAAAUGCGUAGAUAUCUGGAGGAACACCGGUGGCGAAGGCGCCCACCUGGCCUGCUACUGACGCUGAAGCUCGAAAGCUAGGGGAGCAAACGGG